Molecule: ribosomal RNA, 448 nt
Filed under: uncultured Gammaproteobacteria bacterium
Lineage: Bacteria; Pseudomonadati; Pseudomonadota; Gammaproteobacteria
Description: bacterial SSU rRNA
Rfam family: Bacterial small subunit ribosomal RNA
Source: RNAcentral
UGAGUUUGAUCAUGGCUCAGAUUGNNNGCUGGCGGCAGGCCUAACACAUGCAAGUCGAGCGGUAACAGGACUAGCUUGCUAGUUGCUGACGAGCGGCGGACGGGUGCGUAACACGUAGGAAUCUGCCCGGUAGUGGGGGAUAGCCCGGAGAAAUCCGGAUUAAUACCGCAUACGCCUUACGAGGGAAAGAAGGGGCCUCUUCGGAGCCUUUCGCUAUCGGAUGAGCCUGCGUCGGAUUAGCUAGUUGGUGGGGUAAAGGCCUACCAAGGCGACGAUCCGUAGCUGGUCUGAGAGGAUGAUCAGCCACACUGGGACUGAGACACGGCCCAGACUCCUACGGGAGGCAGCAGUGGGGAAUAUUGCACAAUGGGGGAAACCCUGAUGCAGCCAUGCCGCGUGUGUGAAGAAGGCUCUAGGGUUGUAAAGCACUUUCAGCGAGGAGGAAAGG